GUUCGCUUAAGAGACAAAGUUUGGUCGCUCUCGGAUCCCGUAGUUGUUCAUCAAGUUUUCCUGUAUCGACCUUCUCUGACCACCAGAGGGAAAGUGCUGGAAGGACAAAAUGCUCUGUCUCAUGGAUAGCAACUAUUGAUGGACCAAUGGACAAUAAUCUUUGGUAUGUGCACAGACACAGAGAGAGAAGAUGUAUGGAGGAAAGCUGAUCUCAGAUAUUGAGAUGACUGCGUUUCAGAGAAUGGUCUUCAUCGUAUAGAGGACCAGGAUUCAUCAUUUGAAGGACCAGAUAAAGCCGUGGAGCUGCUGUAGGGGUGCUCGGGAAGUGAAACAACUCGAGUCUUGGGACAAGACAUUUGAAGCCAUCUGCAGAGAUGCAUCGAGGACAUGGUCGAAAGGGAGAAUUUUGCAUCUGAUCACCUUGAAACAAAUGCUUCAAGACAUUCCUGAACAAUAUUAAGGCAUGCCUCGAAAAAAAGCAGUUAGCUAUACCUUUGUGAUAUCUUGUUGGCCAAUAUGUUCAAUAAAAGGUUAAAUGUAA
Molecule: long non-coding RNA, 541 nt
Organism: Perca fluviatilis (European perch)
Lineage: Eukaryota; Metazoa; Chordata; Actinopteri; Perciformes; Percidae
Exons: 5
Source: RefSeq, a predicted model, not a curated record